Molecule: long non-coding RNA, 314 nt
Organism: Rhineura floridana
Lineage: Eukaryota; Metazoa; Chordata; Lepidosauria; Squamata; Rhineuridae
Exons: 3
Source: RefSeq, a predicted model, not a curated record
UAGCACUGAUGGAGAAGAAAAUAGCAGCAGCAGCUAUGAUGAUGGCUUCCGCAUACACUCAGCACGGACCUUUCACUAGCCAUGAAACUGACCCCACAGGCAUGUGGGGUAUCCCAGACGGUGGGGAAGUAUGAAGCCUUCUGCUGCAUACUGUAGGCAUCCACCAGCUAUCCACCGAUGGAGAAAAAGUGUAGCUACAGGCCCUUCAGAUGUUGGACUCUAGAGCUAAACUGCAGUCGGACCCGAACAUCUCAAGAACAAGCCUUAAAGAGUAACAAAGUAGCAAAGUUUACUGGUGUUGAAUAAAAUCUGGG